GCACCGGUGGUGUAAGGCGAACAUCGCUGCCCGGAAAGCAGAAGAUGCGGGUUCGAGUCCCGCCUGGCGCA
Heligmosomoides polygyrus is the source of this 71-nucleotide non-coding RNA. The record is from Rfam. Lineage: Eukaryota; Metazoa; Nematoda; Chromadorea; Rhabditida; Heligmosomidae.